This 440-nucleotide unclassified non-coding RNA is filed under the name rhizosphere metagenome. RNAcentral describes it as "partial ribosomal RNA internal transcribed spacer region". The record is from RNAcentral.
GUAGGUGAACCUGCGGAGGGAUCAUUAACACGUUUCCCAUAACGUUUCCACACCAAUCCGUGAACUUCUUAAAUCAUACCCCGACCUGGACAGAGAGAGAAUCCUGUCUUGAAGCGUGCUCAGUGUAAUGGGUAUACUUUCUUUUUCUUGUUGUGUGCAGCAAUGUCACAAUAAGUAAAAAGAAGUAUGCAGGGCGCAUUCAAGCGAGAAAGCUUCGAGCUUUCAAGGCCUCUCUCUGUUUGGGCUAAUACUUACCAUUACUUCCCCUCCAUUUCACUGGGAGUAAUGGCAACCCACAACCACUUUCACCCCUUUAUAACCACUUGACUGAUCAAUCUUUCUUUUGUCUUUGUUGCUCCGCAAGGAAUGACAAGAUAUACUGAAAGUCCUUAAUCAAAAUAUCUAAAGCACAACUCUUAGCAACGGAUAUCUUGGUUCUC